Molecule: non-coding RNA, 324 nt
Organism: Cyanistes caeruleus (blue tit)
Lineage: Eukaryota; Metazoa; Chordata; Aves; Passeriformes; Paridae
Source: RefSeq, a predicted model, not a curated record
GUGGGACCACGAGUCCUGUGGAUGUCACUGUCACAGUGAGCUUCUGCAGGAGUGCUCAGUGCCUGAGAGUUCCAGCAGCGUCCCAGUGUCUUGCAGUGCAAUGAGCUUCACCUCACAAAAAACCCCAAGGGAAGGAAGGCAGAUUAAUGGGAAGCUGAGUUAACUGCACGUGUGCCAGGACAUGUCCCCAGCCUGGCAUCUCUGUCCUGCCUCUGCUGGCACCUGAGCUCAGAGCCAGCCCUCCCACUGUCAGGGUGUGGGGGUUGCUGCCCUUCUGCUUCCAAAACCCAAAAGUGCAAAUCCACAGCAAUAAAUCCUGCAAAA